This is an RNA transcript of Mesoplodon densirostris (Blainville's beaked whale), 2942 nucleotides long. RefSeq lists it as uncharacterized. NCBI's taxonomy places the organism in Eukaryota, Metazoa, Chordata, Mammalia, Artiodactyla, Ziphiidae. The transcript is spliced from 6 exons. The record is from RefSeq and is a predicted model, not a curated record.
CGCGCCCUGGGUUCCGGGCGCGAACGUUCCCCACGGCCGGUCGUCGCGGCCCCGGAGCACGGGCGGCUGCGUGUUAACCGCUCCCAUCCCGAAGCGGGUUGGGAACCGGGCGCCUCAGGUGUUCUAACUCCCUGUUGGGCGGAGCCGGGCACAAGUCCACUCGGCCGAAACGUGAGAUUUCUCUGAAGUAACAAAUCAGCCACGGACACACGGGUCGGGCCAGCGCGUUUCCCGCCCGCCUCCCGGGGCGCCGCGGGCCGGGCUGAACCCGAGCUGGGCCGCCGCCCCGCCCCCCCCCCACCCCGUGUCGGCCGUGAACCUCCUGGGGGCUGAGGACGCGGCGCCCGAGGGAACAGGGGCCGGGAAUAUCCGAGGAGCAGCAAAACGACUGAGAUGGAAAAAAGAUGAGAAGAUCCCUGGGCCCUCCGUUCGGUCCAGUAAGAAAAGUGUAAUAGUUUCAGGAAGGGACCGCAGACAAGACAGAGGGGGAGAAUCAUCGAAGACAUUCAAGAAAAUCAGCAGAACUUCCCUGUUGGAGUGAGGACACAGCGAGAAGACGCGGUCCAUGAACCAGAACGGGGGCCCUCACCAGACAUCGACUCCGUUGAUCUUGGAUUUCCAGCCUCCAGAACCGUGAGAACUCAAGCCCCCCCCACUCCGUCUGUGGCACCUGUUACAGCAGCCCAGCUGGUGGACUCCGUCUCACCCCUGAGGUCGUCCGUCAGCGCUCCCAUCCCAUCCAUCAUUCCUGGGCUCAGUCGUGCAGACUCCCCUCCUUGCUUCCUGCCUUACCUCACAUCCAGUCCUGCUGGUUUCUCCUUCAGCAUCUUUCAGAAACCAGCCAUUUCCCACCAUCACCACUGCAACCAGCGGGCGGUGGGGAGGGUGCUGGGAAACCCUGGUCUCACACCCUGAUUACUAAAAUAGCCUCCUCCUGGCUUCCCUGCUUGCACCUCCCUGCCCCGUCAGUCUGUCCCCAGCCCAGCAGCUGGGUGUCCCAGUGACCACUCUUGUCACAUCCUAGCAUCCUGGACUCUGGGGUCCCCCACCUGGCAGACAGGAGCAGUCAUCCUGAGGAAGAUGAAACUGGGGGAAUAACUGGCACACAAUGGGAAAAGGAGCCUGAUCAGCAGCUGUGGCAAAUCCUUAUCAUCGCGCCACCACCUCUGCUGAAUAACCCAGGACCCCACAGCCUCCUGCAGCUCACGGCAGGCAGCUGGGUGUUUGUGCAGGUGCUGACGUGUCCCCAGAUCCUACCUUUGAAAAAUUGGAACACAAAACCAUGUGCACUAGGAUUUCCCACCGUGUACUCAGACAAGCUCAGAAGGAUGGGACAGCUUGAAGGAGGGAGGCACCUGUCUUCUGAAGAGACAGGCUCCUGGGAUCACCGCCGCUUUGGUCUCCCACGGCCACGUGUACGGUCAGGAGGGAGCGGCCCUGCAGGUAAAGUGCUGGGGCCGCCUGGCACGGCAGGCCCUAGAGCCAGGAGGCCACAGGAGAGACCCUGAGCAGGUGCUCGGUCAGUGGAAGUGGAAUGAAUGGGACGGCUUCUCCAGAAGGCAGAUGAGAGCACGCUGGCCUCCCCACCUGACAACUUGCCCCGAGGACCCCUGUCCACUCCCAACCCCCAGCCUUUCCCAGGGGAAACCCUUCCAGCUGGAGCACCCAGGAGACCAGCAAAACACAGAUGCGCUGGCAGCAGUGUUGUCAGGAGCGGAACUUCUGCAGACUGUGAGCACGGAGCUUCCCCUCACAGGGACGGCUGUUACACAAAGAAGGGGCUCGAGGGCACCGAGUCAGCCCCGGAUGCACUUAUGGAGGAUGUGCCUGUCAGAGCUGGGGUUAGGGUCAGGCAGCCCUUGGGUUCCGCCCUGCCUUUGGCCACCAGCCUCCACGACGGAGGUCCAGCCCCACUGGGCCCGCCUCCUGGUGUCCGUGCCCACAGAGUCCCAUCCCAGCUGAAGAGGGCUGACCUGGGCAGGAAUGUGAGUGACUCUGGGCAAGGUCGUGACCAGCACUGAGCUUCCCCCUGGCUCUCGGAUCGCUCACCCUGGGGGGAGCCCCGGGGAGAGGCCACACGGGAGGAGCUGAGGCCUCCUGCCCACAGCCGGGGGAGGAGCCUCCUUGGAGGCGGGUGGAGCCUCCAGGUGAAACGGGAGCCCUGCCGACACUCCAGCUACAGCCUCACUCGACUCUGAGCCAGGGCCGCCGGGCCGAGCCACUUCUGGGUUCGGGACCCACAGAAACUGUGAGAUAAUAAACGUGUUGUUGUAGCUGCUAAGUUUGGGAUGAUUUGAACAGAGCAACAGGGAGCCAUGACCCCGCUUCUGCUAGCUACAAUUGUAUGACAGCAGGCAAAUUAGUAUCUCUGAGUCUCAGCUUCUCACCCGAGAAUGAGAAUGCCUACCUGCAAUGGAUGUUAGAAAAAUUAAAUAAGCUCUUGGCAUUCGGCCUGGGAUACAGCAAAUGCUGAAAAACUAGCUGUCAUCAUUCUUAUGAAAUAUUUACAUAAAUAUGUCACAAGAUGCGAAGGGCUCAGGAAGACCUCACUUCAAACAGGUGGGUUCAAGGGAGGCUUCGUGGGAAAGUAAUGUCUGACUUGGCCCCCGAAGGAGAAGCAGGAUCUGGACCCGGGGAGACGGCGGGAAAGGGAGGAGGGUCCGCCGCGGGCAGUUCACGCUCGGCGUAACCUCGGGCAACAGGCGGUGGGACCGUGAAGGCUGGCUGGGGUCAGACCGGGGUGCUGGCGGGAAGUGAAGCCACUGGUUCUGAGUCAGCCCUGGGAAGGUGGCGAGAACCCCAGGCGUGGCCCCCCCGCACACAGGAGCAAAGCGGGAAGUCCACAUAAGCCACUUGUCUUGCUCUGGGGUUUGAUUUUGUGUGUCAACGUGACUGGGUUCAGGGAGGCCCAGGUGGCUGGUAGCACAUUAUUCCUGGGUGUG